ACAAGAAUGCAAAUGAUCCAGAAGCUGCUGAUAUGUUUAAAGAAGUUACAUUUUCCUAUAAUAUCUUGUCUGAUUCGGACAAACGACGCCAAUAUGACUCAGCUGGUUUUGAGGCUGUUGAAUCAGAAAGUCAAGAAUUGGAGCUAGAUCUUUCAAGCUUGGGCACUGUGAACACUAUGUUUGCAGCACUUUUUAGUAAACUUGGCGUGCCUAUUAAGACCACUGUAUCAGCAACUGUC
This 239-nucleotide unclassified non-coding RNA is filed under the name Hevea brasiliensis (rubber tree). Lineage: Eukaryota; Viridiplantae; Streptophyta; Magnoliopsida; Malpighiales; Euphorbiaceae. The record is from RNAcentral.